Molecule: ribosomal RNA, 249 nt
Filed under: uncultured bacterium
Lineage: Bacteria
Description: partial 16S ribosomal RNA
Rfam family: Bacterial small subunit ribosomal RNA
Source: RNAcentral
GAUCCUGGCUCAGGAUGAACGCUGGCGGCGUGCCUAACACAUGCAAGUCGAGCGAUUCUCUUCGGAGAAGAGCGGCGGACGGGUGAGUAACGCGUGGGUAACCUGCCCUGUACACACGGAUAACAUACCGAAAGGUAUGCUAAUACGGGAUAACAUAAGAAAUUCGCAUGUUUUUCUUAUCAAAGCUCCGGCGGUACAGGAUGGACCCGCGUCUGAUUAGCUAGUUGGUGAGGUAACGGCUCACCAAGG